GAUGAACGCUAGCUACAGGCUUAACACAUGCAAGUCGAGGGGAAACGACAUCGAAAGCUUGCUUUUGAUGGGCGUCGACCGGCGCACGGGUGAGUAACGCGUAUCCAACCUGCCCAUCACUUGGGGAUAACCUUGCGAAAGUAAGACUAAUACCCAAUGAUAUCUCUAGAAGACAUCUGAAAGAGAUUAAAGAUUUAUCGGUGAUGGAUGGGGAUGCGUCUGAUUAGCUUGUUGGCGGGGUAACGGCCCACCAAGGCAACGAUCAGUAGGGGUUCUGAGAGGCAGGUCCACCACAUUUGAACUGAGAUACGGACCCAACUGCGACGGGAGGCAGCAGAAGGGACCAUUAGGCAAUGGACGCUAGCCUGAAACAGCCAAGUAGCGUACAGGAAGACGGCGCUAUGAGUUGUCUACUGCUUUUAUAAGAGAAAAAAGUGAGAGUCGUGACUCUUCUUGUCUGUACCUUAUGAAUAAGGACCGGCUAAUUCCGUG
RNAcentral lists this ribosomal RNA (492 nucleotides) under uncultured bacterium. RNAcentral describes it as "partial 16S ribosomal RNA". It matches the Rfam family "Bacterial small subunit ribosomal RNA", at positions 28 to 507 of the family's 1533-position model. The record is from RNAcentral.